AUUGCUUCUCGGUCUUUUGGCUAAGAUCAAGUGUAGUAUUCAUACUAGUUUCUCUAUAAAUAUUUUAGAAGGAGAAAGACACAGUAGAAGAAUUGGUAGAGUUUUCAGUAUUCUUUUGAUAAAGGUCAAGAAUGAAUCUCU
RNAcentral lists this small nuclear RNA (141 nucleotides) under Ovis aries (sheep). RNAcentral describes it as "U2 spliceosomal RNA (multiple genes)". It matches the Rfam family "U2 spliceosomal RNA". Rfam says of the family: U2 is a small nuclear RNA (snRNA) component of the spliceosome (involved in pre-mRNA splicing). Complementary binding between U2 snRNA (in an area lying towards the 5' end but 3' to hairpin I) and the branchpoint sequence (BPS) of the intron results the bulging out of an unpaired adenosine, on the BPS, which initiates a nucleophilic attack at the intronic 5' splice site, thus starting the first of two transesterification reactions that mediate splicing. Lineage: Eukaryota; Metazoa; Chordata; Mammalia; Artiodactyla; Bovidae. The record is from RNAcentral.